Molecule: transfer RNA, 69 nt
Filed under: Amphimerus sp. JM-2019
Lineage: Eukaryota; Metazoa; Platyhelminthes; Trematoda; Opisthorchiida; Opisthorchiidae
Description: tRNA-Arg
Source: RNAcentral
UUUUGAUAAUCGCUGUGGCGAGGUUGCGUUUCGGCCGCAACUCGGAGACUUGUGUGGCUCUAUCAAAGG